RNAcentral lists this ribosomal RNA (492 nucleotides) under uncultured bacterium. RNAcentral describes it as "partial 16S ribosomal RNA". It matches the Rfam family "Bacterial small subunit ribosomal RNA", at positions 29 to 507 of the family's 1533-position model. The record is from RNAcentral.
AGUGAACGCUGGCGGUAGGCCUAACACAUGCAAGUCGAACGGCAGCACAGUAAGAGCUUGCUCUUACGGGUGGCGAGUGGCGGACGGGUGAGGAAUACAUCGGAAUCUACUUUUUCGUGGGGGAUAACGUAGGGAAACUCACGCUAAUACCGCAUACGACCUACGGGUGAAAGCAGGGGAUCUUCGGACCUUGCGCGAUUGAAUGAGCCGAUGUCGGAUUAGCUAGUUGGCGGGGUAAAGGCCCACCAAGGCGACGAUCCGUAGCUGGUCUGAGAGGAUGAUCAGCCACACUGGAACUGAGACACGGUCCAGACUCCUACGGGAGGCAGCAGUGGGGAAUAUUGGACAAUGGGCGAAAGCCUGAUCCAGCCAUACCGCGUGGGUGAAGAAGGCCUUCGGAUUGUAAAGCCCUUUUAUUGGGGAAGAAAAGCAGCAUGUUAAUACCCCGCUGUUCUGACGGUACCCAAAGAAUAAGCACCGGCUAACUUCGUG